GACGAACGCUGGCGGCGUGCUUAACACAUGCAAGUCGAACGGUAAGGCCCUUCGGGGUACAUGAGUGGCGAACGGGUGAGUAACACGUGGGUGAUCUGCCCUGCACUUCGGGAUAAGCCUGGGAAACUGGGUCUAAUACCGGAUAGGACCACUGCCUGCAUGGGUGGUGGUGGAAAGCUUUUGCGGUGUGGGAUGGGCCCGCGGCCUAUCAGCUUGUUGGUGGGGUGAUGGCCUAUCAAGGCGACGACGGGUAGCCGGCCGGAGAGGGUGCCCGGCCACACGGGGAAGGAGAUCCGGCCCAGACUCCUACGGGAGGCAGCAGUGGGGAAUAUUGCACAAUGGGCGCAAGCCUGAUUCAGCGACGCCGCGUGAGGGAUGACGGCCUUCGGGUUGUAAACCUCUUUCAGCACCGACGAAGCGCAAGUGACGGUAGGUGCAGAAGAAGGACCGGCCAACUACGUGCCAGCAGCCGCAGUAA
RNAcentral lists this ribosomal RNA (478 nucleotides) under uncultured bacterium. Its description in RNAcentral is "partial 16S ribosomal RNA". It matches the Rfam family "Bacterial small subunit ribosomal RNA", at positions 28 to 523 of the family's 1533-position model. The record is from RNAcentral.